RNAcentral lists this ribosomal RNA (395 nucleotides) under uncultured bacterium. RNAcentral's name for it is "bacterial SSU rRNA". It matches the Rfam family "Bacterial small subunit ribosomal RNA", at positions 505 to 898 of the family's 1533-position model. The record is from RNAcentral.
GUGCCAGCAGCCGCGGUAAUACGGAGGGUGCAAGCGUUAGUCGGAAUUACUGGGCGUAAAGGGUGCGUAGGCGGGUAUGUAAGUCAGACGUGAAAUUCCGGGGCUCAACCCCGGAGCUGCAUCUGAAACUGCGUACCUAGCAGGAUGGCGGAGAAAACGGAAUUCCACGUGUAGCGGUGAAAUGCGUAGAUAUGUGGAAGAACACCUGUGGCGAAAGCGGUUUUCUAGCUUACCCUGGACGCUGAGGCACGAAAGCAAGGGGAGCAAACAGGAUUAGAUACCCUGGUAGUCCUUGCCUUAAACUAUGUAUACUUGGCGUAGUGGGACUCAACCCCCAUUGUGCCGUAGCUAACGCGAUAAGUAUACCGCCUGGGGAGUACGCUCGCAAGGGUGAA